AUGAUAUGCUUUUUUGCGGUGGAGUGGCAUCUUCCACAUCGUGUUUCGAAGCAAUUUGGAGUACAACAACGCACCCCGCCGGAGUAUGUUGAGACAAGUGUGGUGCUACAUAGGACGAGCUGGCAACACAACAAGAAUGUCAUUAAUUGGGAGGAUCACCAUCUUAUGUGGGUGGACAUGUGGAAUGCUCAGAGGAAUGCCCGAGUUGAAGAUGAUCACACACCUGACAAUGACGAGGGGGCAUAUUUAAGGCAUUUGGAGUGGCUUCGCAAAGAGUACAGAGUUAUCCUUAAGGGUGCUUGGACUCGUGCCGAUUGCUUGGAAUUAAUGCCAAGUGAGGCUGCUGAUUGUGCAUUCAACAACUCUAUUAGGGAGACCAUUGGAGAGCACCUAGAUUAUGGCCCUCUGCAUGACUGA
This 417-nucleotide ribosomal RNA is filed under the name Triticum aestivum (bread wheat). RNAcentral's name for it is "partial small subunit ribosomal RNA". Lineage: Eukaryota; Viridiplantae; Streptophyta; Magnoliopsida; Poales; Poaceae. The record is from RNAcentral.